UAAAAAGUAUUACUGCAGGCCUAGAAAGAAAUGUUGAAUGCCCGUACCAACCGCUUGGUCUAGUGAUCAUGUGAAAAUGAGUAAACCAAAUUGAAAUCCCUAGAUUUGCGAGAGUGGAUCGGUCAUAGAGCUCAGUUUACGGUGGUGAAUCCAGUGAGCCAUGAGCCAUGAGACCACAAUUGGAGAAGAUGUGAAGCAAAAGCAGAUCGAGAACCAUCAAAAUUAGACCUUGCCCUUCCACGAACCCAGGUUGUGUAUCGACGAAUCCGACCUCAUCUUCCUUCUCAUUUCCAUUGACGAUCCGUGAAACCGAUGCACAGGAUCCCAUUCAGGUUCAUGGAUCUCAAAUGCAAAGCAACAUGGACACGCUUAUUCAACAUAGUCAAGGACCAAAGUAAACAAUGAGAUUCCUUAUGGGAUCUUAAAGAACAUUUUCAUACAACACAUUACAAACAGGAUCUUAACUUAGAUUCGUCAUGCGAUUUUGUAAACCCGUCUCUUAGAUAGGCGAAUGAAACAACCAUGGAGAUAUUGAAAAGGUUUCAUCCUCGAUGUAAAAGAAAACAUCUUACCAAAAGAGAUAUACAUAAUAAUAGGCGAAAUUUGUGGAAGAUCCGAACUAAAGAUUUGUUGGUUACCAAACAAAUCAUUUUAAUUCGUU
Molecule: long non-coding RNA, 661 nt
Organism: Arabidopsis lyrata subsp. lyrata
Lineage: Eukaryota; Viridiplantae; Streptophyta; Magnoliopsida; Brassicales; Brassicaceae
Exons: 5
Source: RefSeq, a predicted model, not a curated record